RNAcentral lists this ribosomal RNA (253 nucleotides) under uncultured bacterium. RNAcentral's name for it is "partial 16S ribosomal RNA". It matches the Rfam family "Bacterial small subunit ribosomal RNA", at positions 524 to 776 of the family's 1533-position model. The record is from RNAcentral.
UACGGAGGGAGCAAGCGUUACUCGGAAUUAUUGGGCGUAAAGGGCGCGUAGGCGGCCUGCUAAGUCGAUCGUGAAAUCCCCGGGCUUAACCCGGGAACUGCGACCGAUACUGGUUGGCUUGAAUUCGGGAGAGGAAUGCGGAAUUCCAGGUGUAGCGGUGAAAUGCGUAGAUAUCUGGAGGAACACCGGUGGCGAAGGCGGCAUCCUGGACCGGCAUUGACGCUGAGGCGCGAAAGCCAGGGGAGCAAACGGG